Taeniopygia guttata (zebra finch) is the source of this 1809-nucleotide long non-coding RNA. NCBI's taxonomy places the organism in Eukaryota, Metazoa, Chordata, Aves, Passeriformes, Estrildidae. The record is from Ensembl.
CUGGGAGGUGCUGGUACCCUCUGGCUGUGCCAGCUGUUCCAGCUGUGCCAUGGGCACCGCGGCUCCCACAGAGCCCUUGUCAGCCCAGAGCCCCCUCCCCUCUGAGCCCGGGCUUGGGGAGCAAAGCCAGGGAUGGGAAUUCUCCGGGGGCUCAAAUCAGACACCCAAAUUCCUCCAGCCCCUCCUUAGCACAUCAGCUGCCCCGGGCUGUGCCACCGCCCCCGCCCGACCCCUCCUGCCCCACAGAGUCACGGCAGCCUGAGGAGGAACAUCUAGAAGCUUUAUUUCAACCCUUUACAAUAGUAAGAACCACAACAUCGAGUCAGGAAAUGUUGCUAAGGAGACGACGCUCUUACAGCCCCCGGGGAGGGGAGACACAAAGGCAGAAACAACCGAUGGGCUCCCCCGGGCCGCUGUCUCCCACCGAGCACUGACCUCCCCUCCCCAGCGGAGUCCCCCUCCUCGGGCACGCCCUGCAGAAUAAUCCUAUGACACAAAAUAAUAAUAACACGUCACAUUUAGAGAACACGUCACGCGCUGCUCACGCCUCACAACAGCCCGGUGAGGUAAAAUUGAAUCCCCCCCACCUUUGCGGAUGGGGAAACUGAGGCAGAGAGGUUGAGUGGCUUCCCGAGAGCACGGAGGGAGCCGAGGGCCGGGACCGCCCUCCGGGCCGAGCCCCCGCCCCGGUCACUGCGCUCGGUGCCAGGUGAGGACAGCGGGGCUGGUGGGUGACCGUGCGGGGAGGGAGCGGGGGGAGCCGGAGCCCCUCAGAGCCCUUUCCGUGCUGCUGCUGCUCCAUGGAGCCUCUUCCGCCCCACCCGCCGGCCAUGGGGCCUCGGGGACAUUUCCCUGAGCCCGGAGGUGCCGGGCCUCGGGGACAUUCCCUGAGCCCGGAGGUGCCGGGCCUUGGGGACAUUUCACUUUCCCCUCAGCCCGGAGGUGCCGCGGCUCCGCAGGGACUCGGCCCUGCCCUCAGGGGAGCCCCGUCACCCCCGAGGCCGCCACCGCCACCAAGCUCCGAAAGAACCGGGAAUUCUGCCUAAACACGAACACGCGAGGGUCCCGGGGUCCCUCUGACACCGACACGACGCGGGGACAGCAGAGGAAGCUACAUUCAGUUUGCGGCUGGGGCGGCCUCGAGCCCGGACUCGGUGGCUCGAAGCGGAGCCCCGCCGGGACCGGGCUCGCCCCCGGCCCUGCCCCGGCCCCGCCGCCUCCCCACCGGCCUCGGGCGGCUCAGCCGCUGCUCGCCCCGAGCUCUGCGAAGCCUUUGCUGAGUCCUGCCCGGAGCCCCGCUCAGCCCCUGCCCAGCCCAGAGUCCCCCAGUGCGGCCAAAGCCCGGGACAGGAACGUGUACAUUCAACUGGCAUCUCAUUCAGGGCUCAGCUCCUGUUUCCCCCCCGGAUUUGCUGCCUCCAGCCCUCGAUGGAGCCACCGCGCCCGCAGCCCCUUCCCCAGCAGCGUUAAGGUCUCAGCAGUACCCAGCUCAUCCCACCUCUCCAGACGGGAAACUAAAAUCAUUCCCACCACACACGGCUCCUUCCCAGCCUAGCAAUAUGUACAGCCGCUUCCUCAAAAUAAACUCAAAAAAGAAAUCCGUAUUAGAACUGAAGCUGUCCUAGAAACACCACGGCAAACUAGUGUAUCUGGAUUUAGUUAUCAGCUAAACACAGGCACAACAAGUGUUAGAGAAGUGGCACAGAAGCACGGGCCGGGGGCUCGGCUGGGCCGGGCUUUGGGCAGGGACAGCCUGGGCACCGCACGCAGCCACCUCCGCCCGGUGCUCAGGAAAUCAUCGGGAAUCGG